CAGUAGCCACGGGAAUACGGAGGGUGCAAGCGUUAAUCGGAUUUACUGGGCGUAAAGCGUGCGUAGGCGGCUUUUUAAGUCGGAUGUGAAAUCCCUGAGCUUAACUUAGGAAUUGCAUUCGAUACUGGGAAGCUAGAGUAUGGGAGAGGAUGGUAGAAUUCCAGGUGUAGCGGUGAAAUGCGUAGAGAUCUGGAGGAAUACCGAUGGCGAAGGCAGCCAUCUGGCCUAAUACUGACGCUGAGGUACGAAAGCAUGGGGAGCAAACAGGAUUAGAUACCCCAGUAGUCCCUGUCUCUUAUAC
This 301-nucleotide ribosomal RNA is filed under the name uncultured bacterium. RNAcentral's name for it is "partial 16S ribosomal RNA". It matches the Rfam family "Bacterial small subunit ribosomal RNA", at positions 509 to 807 of the family's 1533-position model. The record is from RNAcentral.